Vicugna pacos (alpaca) is the source of this 447-nucleotide non-coding RNA. The record is from RefSeq and is a predicted model, not a curated record. NCBI's taxonomy places the organism in Eukaryota, Metazoa, Chordata, Mammalia, Artiodactyla, Camelidae.
UGUGGUCACCAGCUAUGUUCUCUCCAGGCACAAAGGUGGACGCAGACCAAGCAGACGCUUGAUCAGCAGCUAUCCAAGCCAGAAGCCAGCUGGACCUGCCCAGCGCCUCCGCCCACGCGCUCCCGCAGGGCCUGUCCCUUUACCAGUGAAGCAUAAGGAUUGGACGCAGAUGUGAAAAGCAGGCUAGGAUUCUACCCUUCUUUGUCUCCCCAGAAAGCUUCUGGAACAUCCCAUCAGCAUAAAAACAUCUCCUUUGACAGCCACUGGCCUUGGCUCUCACAUGAUGGCUUAGACCUCCACGGUGCACGGCCCCAUCACCAGUGCCAUCAGCAAUGAUCCAGCCACAAGAUCACCAUGACUGCGAGCGUGAAUGAGCACCUGCAAAGGUGCUGACGAGGCUGCAGUAAAGACUCAGCCCCUGGGGAGGCCACGGCACUCACCUUGCAU